This 253-nucleotide non-coding RNA is filed under the name uncultured bacterium. RNAcentral describes it as "partial 16S ribosomal RNA". It matches the Rfam family "Bacterial small subunit ribosomal RNA", at positions 524 to 776 of the family's 1533-position model. The record is from RNAcentral. RNAcentral also lists the same sequence under 1 other name.
UACAGAGGGUGCUAACGUUGUUCGGAAUUACUGGGCAUAAAGCGCACGUAGGCGGCCAGGUAAGUGUAAUGUGAAAUCCCACGGCUCACCCGUGGAACUGCUUUGCAUACUGCCUGGCUCGAGGAAGGUAGGGGAGAGCAGAACUCUUGGAGGAGCGGUGAAAUGCGUAGAUAUCAAGAGGAAUACCAGUGGCGAAGGCGGCUCUCUGGUCCUUUUCUGACGCUGAGGUGCGAAAGCUAGGGUAGCGAACGGG